Molecule: unclassified non-coding RNA, 90 nt
Filed under: Pseudomonas mediterranea
Lineage: Bacteria; Pseudomonadati; Pseudomonadota; Gammaproteobacteria; Pseudomonadales; Pseudomonadaceae
Source: RNAcentral
UGUGGGAGCGAGCCUGCUCGCGAUAGCUAUUGAUCAUCCGAUAUAAAUGUCGACUGGCAGACCGCUAUCGCGAGCAGGCUCGCUCCCACA